This is a long non-coding RNA of Canis lupus familiaris (dog), 1892 nucleotides long. RefSeq lists it as uncharacterized. NCBI's taxonomy places the organism in Eukaryota, Metazoa, Chordata, Mammalia, Carnivora, Canidae. The transcript is spliced from 4 exons. The record is from RefSeq and is a predicted model, not a curated record.
CGGGGAAAGGCCAGGACCGCGGCGAAGCCCCACGGGGGCAGCUGGACCCCACACCCCGCCCCGAGCGGAGCGGAGGCUGCUGGGGAGGGGGCUGCGAGGGUCAAAGACGGGGCCAAGUGCCCGCAGCCAGAAGCUCACCACUCCGGGCCUGCCACCGCGCCUGCCGGAAGCGGUCGGCCGGGCUCUGUUCAAAAAUAGAAAAGGAACUUCAGUAUCCGCGUAACUGAGUGGAGCGGUGCGGAAAGAGAAGAGGAAUUAACGAACCUGCCUGAGCAGAAAGUCCCAGAGCCUACAGAUCUUCCCUUCCUUCGGAAGGAGUCACAAGCCCCUAAAGCUGGAGAAGGCAGCAGCUACUUAGCAGUGGGAGCCAGGCCUGAAGCUUCAGACGCAGAAACGCUGGACAAGCGGCUGCUGAGGUGCCUUUGGACAUAGGCCUAGGUUUUGAGCUCAGCUACUCUGCUUUCUAACCUCAGGCAAGUUAAUUAAAUUUUAGGUGCCUACCUUUCCUUGCUCAAAUUAUAGAGCCAACCCCUUCCCGGAUUACAGAAGGGAUUAAGGAGAUAACACAGAUAAAAACGCUUGGCUCCUCGUGGGUACUCCAGGAAAGGUGCAGGGAGCCCCAGGGUGGCUUGACCUGAUUUUUCUACGCAGCAGGCAGGGUGGGGCAAUAGGAGGGGAGGCCUACAAACUAUAGGGGCCCCGCCCUCCAGACCUAAUUCCCAGACCCCAUUUCCUGGGGAAAGUUGAGUGAAGCCCUCCUCACCAGGAAGGAGGUUUCCUUCCUCAGUGCUUAGAAGGGGGGCUACUGUGCAUUAACUGCUCUGCCUGCCUCUCCUCCAAUCAAGGAGCAGAUAAGUGAGUGCCCACUUUCACAGGCGCCCAACUGUCCAUGGGGCAGGCAGAUGGGUGGGGAAAGAGCUGGUACUGACCCUGCUGGGCUGGGUGGAGACCCGAGGGAGGGAACUCUCAGUGAAGACUCACCUAGCCCUAGAGCCCUCCCUGUCCUCCAGGUGCCAGGCAGGGGUGAGGUCGUUGCAGAGCAGGCCUCAUCUCUCCCCCCACACCCCUGUGCACGUGUGCACAAGCACACGGUAUCACUCUGUCAGGCUGGGUCUCAGGCUGAGACCCUGGGUCCACACAGUCAACAGUAGUGUUGCGUGUCUAGACAUUUACUCCCACGAGAGGUCUUGGUUACAAACCGGCUGCUGUCCCAGACCUCACCCUCAUAUUUGCCUCCAGUCCAGGCAAACACAGGGUGGCAAGCAUUCACCCACCUGUUCCCAGGUGGCCACAUGGCCAUCUGCUGAUGGCACACAAACUGCUGGCAGAUGCCACAGGUUCAUAGGAAAAUGUUUAAGGGGUACUGGUGAGUUCUUUCCCAGUUCACCUGCCAUCAAGGGAAAGGCAGCUCCAGCAUGCUGGCACAUUCUGUUCAGGAGCCCAGGCCUGCGAGUUCACAGACACCCAGGUAUAUACUCUUGAACAUACUUCAUAUCCAUGGGUUUUGACUUCUUUCCCUUUUGUAUCUCAGGCUAGAAACUGGGCUCUUUCUGGUCAGCACCAGAGCGGCAUGGUUACUGAAUUGGGGUGGAUUUUGUUGAAGGGUGGACAGGAGGAGUGGGUGAAGACAGUAUAUGAACCCCUUAGAAGUCCUAAUUCUGCAUUUUUAACUACUGUCCUAGGGUGGAGUGAGGUGCUGUCCUUCCGUGGCCGCAGGGCCUUGGCCAUCGAAGGCUCCUACAACUGCUUUACCGGGCUGGUGACACCAGUCAGUCUAGACCCAGUGGGAGAAGCUCCUCGGCCUGGCGGGCCAUCUGGGAGGAAAACGCAGCCUGCGCCCAAGUGCUCGGCGGCGACGGGUCCGCAACAGCCGCCACCCUGCUCGGGCCGGG